Molecule: long non-coding RNA, 64 nt
Organism: Aricia agestis (brown argus)
Lineage: Eukaryota; Metazoa; Arthropoda; Insecta; Lepidoptera; Lycaenidae
Exons: 3
Source: RefSeq, a predicted model, not a curated record
CGAUAAUCUCUGCCAAAAUUCUUCGCCACUCACUCUGACAUAGGCAACUCACCAAGGAGCCAUU